ACGGGUGAGUAAUAUAUCGGAACGUGCCCAAUCGUGGGGGAUAACGUAGAGAAAUUUACGCUAAUACCGCAUACGAUCUAAGGAUGAAAGCGGGGGAUCGCAAGACCUCGCGCGAUUGGAGCGGCUGAUAUCAGAUUAGGUUGUUGGUGAGGUAAAAGCUCACCAAGCCGACGAUCUGUAGCUGGUUUGAGAGAACGACCAGCCACACUGGGACUGAGACACGGCCCAGACUCCUACGGGAGGCAGCAGUGGGGAAUUUUGGACAAUGGGCGAAAGCCUGAUCCAGCAAUGCCGCGUGCAGGAAGAAGGCCUUCGGGUUGUAAACUGCUUUUGUACGGAACGAAAAAGCUCUUUCUAAUAAAGAGGGCUCAUGACGGUACCGUAAGAAUAAGCACCGGCUAACUACGUGCCAGCAGCCGCGGUAAUACGUAGGGUGCGAGCGUUAAUCGGAAUUACUGGGCGUAAAGCGUGCGCAGGCGGUUAUAUAAGACAGUUGUGAAAUCCCCGGGCUCAACCUGGGAAUUGCAUCUGUGACUGUAUAGCUAGAGUACGGUAGAGGGGGAUGGAAUUCCGCGUGUAGCAGUGAAAUG
RNAcentral lists this ribosomal RNA (590 nucleotides) under Polaromonas sp. BvORHM021. Its description in RNAcentral is "bacterial SSU rRNA". It matches the Rfam family "Bacterial small subunit ribosomal RNA", at positions 102 to 688 of the family's 1533-position model. Lineage: Bacteria; Pseudomonadati; Pseudomonadota; Betaproteobacteria; Burkholderiales; Comamonadaceae. The record is from RNAcentral.